Gorilla gorilla gorilla (western lowland gorilla) is the source of this 2210-nucleotide long non-coding RNA. RefSeq lists it as uncharacterized. The record is from RefSeq and is a predicted model, not a curated record. The transcript has 4 exons. NCBI's taxonomy places the organism in Eukaryota, Metazoa, Chordata, Mammalia, Primates, Hominidae.
GCCAAAAGGAUGCUGGAAUAAAACAAACCAGAGCUUCUUCCCCAAAUCCCAGUGAGGUUCCUGCCUCUGGGCAGGAAGGAGUGGCCUUUGCUCCUAGAGAAAGGAACUAAAGAGGAUUCUGGAGGACUCUGGGCUCCCACAGCCUCUGGGACUCUCAGGCCUCCUCUAGGGGGAAACAUGGCCAGAGCCUGGGGAAGACAAAUUGAGUGCUGCACACGCUGACCGGCUGUGGCCCCUCACCUCACAGCCUAGGAGCUACUUGCUGUAAGGCCACUGUGCAGAUGAGAGACAUCGGUCUCCACAGUGUUCAACCAUUCAGCCAAGAUCACGGCCAGUGAGCUGUGGAGAAGGAACCCACAUCUGCCUGGAUCACGAUUCUUUCCACCACUGGGUAGAAGAUCAUGCUGCCUGUGCGGUGUUAUUCUCACAACGGAGGCCAGUCUUGGGAAGGGCGACCAGGUUACCGGUUCCUCCAGGUGCAGAAACAUGGGCCAGUGGCUGAGUCCCGGCUCCACGAGGAGAUGUUGGGAGAAGUCAGCACACAUUGAGGAGAAGCAAGGAGCACCACUCCUGAUGGUCCCCUCCAAAGCCCCAGGAAACUCUUGUUGGCAAUCUUAGAUUAAAUUCAGUGAGUUUCUGGAUCACGACAGGAAGCUGCGUCCAGCACGAAGGUGUCCUGUGAACAGGCUCAAUCACAAGCUCUGCAGAGACGGGAGGUGACAGAGGCCCCAGAAAGCCAGUUCCCGACAACGCCAAUACUGCACGUUUAUCAGCUGCGGCAAGAGCCGGCUGGAGGCAGUGGCAGCACCUCAAUGCCCUUGCCUCGUCUUCAAGAUUCUUCUGUUUGAUGUUGCGUCCUCACUGUUCCUCUGCUGAGGAGCUGUAGUGUGGCUCACAACUACGCGAUGACUCUCCAGAUUCAAAGACCACAUCUCACCCUCUCUAAAGCCCCCAGGUGCCCAGCGCAGUGCCGUGUGCAGAAGGGUUGAUGAGCAUUUGCUGAGCCGGGUGAUAAUCCCAUGGACAUUGUUUCCUCUGCCGUCAGUCUCCACACCAUUAACAACAUUUGCAGAUAUAUGAUGGCCCACAUAGAAAACCUAACUAACCAACAUCAUAAAUCAUAGGGACUAAAAGAAAACUUGCAGAUACAAAACACUUCUUACAGCAUAAAAAUGCUCUCUCCCAGGCGUCUGCUCAGCAGCUGGCUAUCGGCAGGACAUUGCGCACCAGGUAUCUUCAAGCUGCUUCUGGCUGGAUUUAGGGCAUGAUGGAAACAUCAAGACAACUGUAGUUCUGCCACGGGGCCCCACAUCUGCUCAUCCUGGGACACCCAGGAAGUGGCAGCAGGUUUCAGCACCCUGGAGAGGGCCAGGCCCCAGUGGCUGGUCAAGUUCCUCAGUGUUAAGGGAGCAGCUCAGGAAGGCCCCGCCCAGGAUGAUGAGGGGACCAGGAAUGAAGUCAGCAGGUGAGCGGGAGGAACUUGACUCAGAGCAGUGGGAGGGCAGGAAGCGUGCUGGGGAGGAGCCCUUGAGGGGCCACCACCUGGGGAAGCCCCUGCUGUCCCAGGGACAAGGGAAGGCUCCUCCUUGAUUCCCCAGAAGGACAGCGUGGCUGCGGUCAAAUCCAUCCACGGGGCAGAUUUUCCCCACGGCCCUGUCCCCUGACCCUAGUGGCCCUCCCACAGACAUGCCCUGCAGGGCCCAGGACACUGGCCCUCGAUGGGCCCUGAGCCAGUGCCACCUGUGUGUGCACUGAUGAAGGUCAGGCACUUUAUUGGAGGAAGGAGGAGCAGAAAGAGGAGAAGGAAACGUUAACUCCUAAAUCACAAGGCAGAAAGGAUUCCUGAAUCAAAUCAGCCAAAUCUGCCUCCUAGGUGGUUCCAGACCCGCCCCCUCCCCUCCCUGUUUCUUAGGGCGCGACAGUAACAUUAACCCGGUUCCACUGCACAUCCUCCUGGCCCUGGCCCUGCGCCCUUGGCCCCUGCACAUCUCAUGGCUGGCACCUCCGUGCGUGCUCUCAUUUCACGUUUCACCUUCAAAUUGUCCUCUGUGAACACGUGUAUGCAUGCAUGUUUAUUGGUCUAUUUGUUUACGUUUGUUUGAUGAUCCAGUUGCAGUCUCUUUUCAUUAGAAAGCUAGGCUUGUUCCAAGCAUAAUAUGUGCUUGUUUUGACUUCUUUUGAAAAUGAAAGCACCUGAAAUCUCCCACAGC